This 239-nucleotide unclassified non-coding RNA is filed under the name fungal sp. RNAcentral's name for it is "partial internal transcribed spacer region". The stretch from base 1 to 46 matches the Rfam family "Eukaryotic small subunit ribosomal RNA", at positions 1786 to 1831 of the family's 1831-position model. The record is from RNAcentral. Lineage: Eukaryota; Fungi.
AAGUCGUAACAAGGUUUCCGUAGGUGAACCUGCGGAAGGAUCAUUAACACUUUUGAAAGAUUUCAUUUUUCUUUUUCGAAAAAUGAAAUUUUACUUUACCCACAUUUUUGGAUGAAUUAACUUUUAUUAACCCUUUAUAAUUUUUAUACCCCAAAAACAAAACUAAUACUAUUUAUUUCUAACAUUUAUUUAAGAAAAAACAUAAAAAACAACUCUUAACAACGGAUAUCUAGGCUCUC